RNAcentral lists this ribosomal RNA (253 nucleotides) under uncultured Methylomonas sp. Its description in RNAcentral is "partial 16S ribosomal RNA". It matches the Rfam family "Bacterial small subunit ribosomal RNA", at positions 524 to 776 of the family's 1533-position model. The record is from RNAcentral. Lineage: Bacteria; Pseudomonadati; Pseudomonadota; Gammaproteobacteria; Methylococcales; Methylococcaceae.
UACGGAGGGUGCAAGCGUUAAUCGGAAUUACUGGGCGUAAAGCGUGCGUAGGCGGCUUAUUAAGUCAGAUGUGAAAGCCCUGGGCUUAACCUGGGAACUGCAUUUGAAACUGGUAAGCUAGAGUUGAGUAGAGGAGAGUGGAAUUUCAUGUGUAGCGGUGAAAUGCGUAGAGAUCUGAAGGAACACCAGUGGCGAAGGCGGCUCUCUGGACUCAAACUGACGCUGAGGUACGAAAGCGUGGGUAGCAAACAGG